Vigna angularis (adzuki bean) is the source of this 6409-nucleotide RNA transcript. It is a transcript of the gene named E3 ubiquitin-protein ligase UPL3, with no coding region annotated. The transcript is spliced from 18 exons. NCBI's taxonomy places the organism in Eukaryota, Viridiplantae, Streptophyta, Magnoliopsida, Fabales, Fabaceae. The record is from RefSeq and is a predicted model, not a curated record.
GUUGUGUCCUGUUUGUUCCUUUUUUAUUCCCUUAGCUGCUUCUCACAUGUCCUUACUUAGGGUUUUCAUCCAACAAUUUCAUUUCUGUGUUGUACACUAAACGCAAUACAUUACCCGAACUCCAGAUUCUCAAUUACCAUUAUCCAAUUCGCUACAUUCAUUGUUAAUUUAUCAAUCCGGUCAUAAGAAUUUAAGGCGGUUUCGUAUUCGUACGACACCGAUUCGGGACUUUUCUUGGAUUUUCUUGGAUUUAGGGUUUUCGCCGAUUUAAUAUAUUCUUCAUCUGAUAGAGCACAGAUGCAAGGGAUUAAUCGAUCGGUGAGAGGUCAGAUAGACUGAGGCGAGUCUGGGUUUUGUAUGGAAACUCGGAGUCGGAAGCGGGCGGAGGCUUCCUCAGCUGCCCCUUCAUCCUCGUCCACCUCUCGUUCCGCCAAGCGCUCUCGUCUCUCUUCUUCCUCUUCUUCGAUCCCGAACACCCCAACUGUUAAUACACGUUCUCGUUCGGCCAGGACUAACACCACCACCACAAAUUCCGUUUCUAUCAUGGACCCCACCAACGAAUCCUCCGGGUCAAGACGUGAUCGCCGUGGCAAGAAUUUGGAAAGGGACAAUUCGGACAAAGGGAAGGAGAAAGAACAGGAUGUUGGGAUUAGGGAUGUAGAAAGAGAGCGAGCCUUGGCGUUGAACAUGGAGGGUGAAGGUGUUGGGGACGACGAUGAUAAUUAUAGUGACAGUGGUGUGCAUCGGAAUUUGACGUCUGCUAGUAGUGCCCUUCAAGGGCUUCUUCGGAAACUUGGUGCUGGUUUGGAUGAUCUGCUUCCUGCCACGGCUAUGAGUGGUUCUGCGUCCUCUUCUCAUCAGAGUGGUAGACUCAAGAAAAUUCUGGCUGGAUUGCGUGCUGACGGAGAAGAAGGUCGUCAGCUCGAUGCAUUGUCGCAGCUUUGUGACAUGCUUUCCAUUGGAACUGAAGAAUCCCUUAGUACAUUUUCCGUUGACUCGUUUGUUCCUGUGUUAGUGGGGUUGCUUAAUCAUGAGAGCAACCCCGAUGUUAUGCUACUUGCUGCCAGGGCGCUUACCCAUUUAUGCGACGUUCUUCCCUCAUCUUGUGCUGCUGUUGUGCAUUACGGGGCAGUGUCUAUAUUCUGUGCGAGACUGCUUACGAUAGAGUAUAUGGAUUUGGCUGAGCAGUCUCUUCAAGCGCUAAAGAAGAUUUCUCAGGAGCACCCAACUGCCUGUCUUCGAGCUGGAGCUCUGAUGGCUGUACUUUCUUACUUGGACUUCUUCUCAACAGGAGUUCAGCGAGUGGCAUUGUCUACUGCUGCAAAUAUGUGCAAAAAGCUUCCUCCUGAUGCAGCUGACUUUGUAAUGGAAGCUGUUCCUCUUUUGACAAACCUUCUUCAGUACCAUGACUCCAAGGUUCUGGAACAUGCCUCUGUUUGUCUGACUCGAAUAGCUGAAGCAUUUGCCUCAUCUCCAGACAAAUUAGAUGAAUUAUGCAAUCAUGGACUGGUAACACAAGCUGCCUCUCUCAUUUCUAAUAGCAGUUCUGGAGGUGGUCAGGCUUCUCUCAGCACUCCAACAUAUACUGGUCUGAUCCGCCUUCUUUCCACAUGUGGCAGUGGAUCCCCUCUUGGAGCCAAAACAUUACUUCUCCUUGGAAUUAGUGGCAUUCUAAAAGAUAUACUAUCCGGUUCUGGUGUUUCUUCUAUCACCUCUUUUUCACCAGCAUUAAGUAGGCCGGCAGAUCAGAUAUUUGAGAUUGUGAAUCUGGCAAAUGAACUUCUGCCUCCAUUGCCACAUGGAACCAUUUCUCUUCCUGUCAGCUCCAACUUGUUUGUGAAAGGGUAUUUUGUGAAAAAAUGUCCUUCUGGCACUUCCAGACAAGAAGACACCACCAACGGAAAUAUUCAUGAGAUAUCAGCUCGUGAGAAGUUAUUAAAUGAUCAGCCUGAGUUACUUCAGCAAUUUGGGAUGGAUCUCCUCCCAGUUUUAAUGCAGAUAUAUGGUGCCAGUGUCAAUGGUCCUGUUCGCCACAAAUGUCUUUCUGUCAUUGGAAAAUUGAUGUAUUUCAGCACAGCUGAGAUGAUUCAGUCUUUGUUGAGUGUAACAAAUAUAUCAAGUUUCUUAGCUGGUGUGUUAGCAUGGAAAGAUCCGCAUGUUUUGGUACCUGCCUUGCAGAUUGCAGAAAUUCUUAUGGAAAAGCUUCCUGGAACAUUCUCUAAGAUGUUUGUCAGAGAAGGUGUGGUCCAUGCGGUUGACCAACUUAUUUCAGCUGGAAAUUCAACCAAUGUAUCUAUUCAAACGUCCGCUGAGAAGGAUAGUGAUUCUGUAUCUGGAACUCAUUCUCAGCCCAGACACUAUCGCCUGCGUAGUGGUAACUCAAACCCCGAUGCAAACUAUUUGGAUGAUUUGAUGAGGAGUCCAGUUCCAGUAAAUGUUGGUUUGCCAACAAGUUCUGUUGAAACUCCGACAACUGGUUCCAGUAUUCGGGAGUCUAUUAGCUCAGUUGCUAGAGGUUUUAAAGACAAGUACUUUCCUUCUGAUCCUGGGUCUAUUGAAGUGGGUGUUAGUGAUGAUCUUUUGCAUUUGAAAAAUCUCUGCACAAAGCUGACCACUUGUGUUGAUGAUAAAAAAACUAAGGCAAAGGGAAAAGUUAAAGCUUCUGGACCUGGUCUCAACGAAAAUUCUAAUAACACAGAAGAAUAUUUAAUUGGGGUGAUAUCUGACAUGUUAAAGGAACUUGGCAAAGGUGAUGGUGUAUCUACUUUUGAAUUUAUUGGUAGUGGUGUUGUUGAAGCCUUGUUGAGUUAUUUAUCUUGUGGGUAUUCUGCAAAAGAUCGAAUGUCAGAAACCAGUCUCCCCAGACUUCGUCAACAGGCACUUGCAAGGUUCAAGUCAUUUGUUGCUAUUGCACUACCUUUGAGCAUUGAUAAUGGGGAUGUUGCUCCUAUGACUGUCUUGGUUCAGAAGCUUCAAAAUGCAUUGUCUUCCCUGGAACGGUUCCCUGUAAUGCUGAGUAAUUCUUCUCGUUCAUCUAGUGGGAGUGCACGUCUCUCCAGUGGACUAAGUGCAUUAUCUCAGCCCAUAAAGCUGCGUCUCUGUCGAGCACAGGGUGAAAAGUCACUUAAGGAUUAUUCUUCCAAUGUGGUACUGAUUGAUCCAUUAGCGAGUUUAGCAGCCAUUGAGGAAUUUCUGUGGACUCGUGUCCAGCGCAGUGAAUCUGGUCAAAAGUCUACUGUACCUGGUGAAAAUUCUGAAUCUGGAACAGCUCCUGCAGGGGCAGGUGUUUUAUCUCCUUCCUCUUAUACUCCCUCAACUACCCGUCGACAUGCAGCUAUGUACAGAUCAUCUUUUAGUAUAGAAGAUACACCUACAAAAAAAACAUCUCAAGAUAAAAGCACAAGUUCAUCUAAGAGCAAGGGUAAAGCUGUAUUAAAGGCUGCACAGGAGGAAGCAAGAGGACCUCAGACCCGAAAUCGCAGAAGAGCAGCUCUAGAUAAAAAUGCUCAAAUGAAACCUGUAAAUGACGAAUCAACUUCUGAGGAUGAAGAAUUGGAUAUAUCUCCUGUUGAAAUAGACGAGGCUUUGAUGAUUGAAGAUGAUGAUAUUUCUGAUGAUGAGGAUGAAGACCAUGAAGAUGUGUUGAGGGAUGAUUCUCUUCCUGUCUGUUUGCCCGACAAAGUACAUGAUGUGAAAUUGGGUGACUCAGCUGAGGAGAGUACUGUUGCUACAGCAACAAGCGAUAGCCAGACUAUCGCAGCCUCGGGUUCUAGCAGUAAAGCUGUGACAGCCAGGGGAUCCGACUCUGCUGAUUUUAGGAGUGGGUAUUCAUCUAGCUCAAGGGGUGCAAUGUCAUUUGCUGCUGCUGCUAUGGCUGGACUAGGAUAUGCUAAUAGCAGAGGUUUCAGGGGUGGCAGAGAUAGGCAUGGGCGCCUGUUGUUUGGUACUUCUAAUGAUCCUCCAAAAUUAAUUUUUACUGCUGCUGGGAAGCAGCUUAAUAGGAAUUUGACUAUAUACCAGGCAAUUCAAAAACAGCUUGUGCUAGAUGAAGAUGAUGAUGACAGAUUUGCUGGCAGUGACUAUGUAUCCAGUGAUGGAAGCAGUCUGUGGGGUGAUAUUUACACCAUCACUUAUCAAAGAGCAGAAAACCAGACGGAUAAGGCAUCUACUGGAGGAUCAAGUUCAAAUACUUCAAAACCUGCCAAAUCUGGCUCUGCCUCAAAUUCCAGCCCAGAAGCUAAGUUGCAUCAGACUUCUGUUUUAGACAGUAUAUUGUAUGGAGAAUUGCCGUGUGAUCUAGAGAAAUCUAACCCCACCUACAAUAUUUUGGCACUCCUGCGUGUGUUGGAGUGUUUGAACCAGCUUGCGCCUCGUUUGAGGGCUCAAAUGGUUUCUGAUAGCUUUGCUGAGGGUAAAAUCUCUAAUUUUGAUCAGCUAGUUGUUACAACUGAUACUAGGGUUGUUCAGGAGGAAUUCAUUAGUGGUAAGCUUACUCCAAAAUUGGCUAGGCAAAUACAAGAUGCCCUAGCACUAUGCAGUGGUAGUCUUCCCUUAUGGUGUUAUCAGUUGACUAAAGCAUGCCCUUUCUUGUUUCCUUUUGAGACUCGACGACAGUACUUCUAUUCUACUGCAUUUGGGUUAUCUCGAGCACUGUAUCGACUUCAGCAGCAGCAAGGUGCUGAUGGUCAUGGAUCGACUACUGAGAGAGAGAUUAGAGUUGGGAGAUUACAGCGCCAAAAAGUUCGUGUCUCUCGAAACCGUGUCUUGGAUUCUGCUGCAAAAGUUAUGGAGAUGUAUUCUAGCCAAAAAGCAGUACUUGAAGUAGAAUAUUUUGGUGAAGUUGGCACUGGCCUGGGCCCAACCCUGGAGUUUUAUACAAUUCUAAGUCAUGAUUUACAAAAGGUUGGACUGCAAAUGUGGAGAUCCCAUUCUUCAAAUAAACAUGAAAUGGAAGUUGACGGGGAUGAAAAGAGAGAGCAUAGUGUAGGCUCUAGGCCCAAUUUGGCUGGAGAUAAAGAACUUGUUCUAGCUCCUAUGGGUUUGUUUCCUCGGCCUUGGCCUACAAAUUCUGAUGCAUCAGAGGGUAGUCCAUUUGCAAAAGUCAUUGAGUAUUUUCGGCUGCUGGGUCGUGUUAUGGCAAAAGCUCUUCAAGAUGGACGACUAUUGGAUCUGCCAUUGUCAGUGGCAUUCUAUAAGCUUGUUCUUGGUCAAGAUCUUGAUUUGCAUGACCUUCUGUUCAUUGAUGCUGAGCUUGGGAAGACUUUGCAAGAGUUAAAUGCCCUUGUUCGUCGGAAACAUUAUGUAGAAUCUGUUGGUGGUAGCUGUACUGAUACUCUUUUUAACUUACAUUUUCAUGCUGCGCCAGUUGAAGAUCUUUGCUUAGAUUUUACGCUUCCUGGUUUUCCUGAGUACACCUUGAAAGCUGGAGAUGAAACUGUCGAUAUCAACAAUUUGGAGGAGUACAUAUCCUUGGUGGUUGAUGCAACAGUCAAGACUGGAAUCAUGCGGCAAAUAGAGGCAUUUAGAGCAGGGUUUAAUCAGGUUUUUGACAUCUCAUCUUUACAAAUUUUUACUCCUCAAGAACUAGACUACUUGCUUUGUGGCCGGAGGGAGUUGUGGGAGGCUGAGACACUUGCUGAUCAUAUAAAAUUUGACCAUGGGUACAAUGCAAAGAGCCCUCCUAUUGUUAAUUUACUUGAAAUUAUGGGGGAAUUCACCCCGGAGCAGCAGCGCGCCUUCUGUCAAUUUGUUACUGGUGCACCUAGGCUGCCACCUGGUGGGCUGGCAGUUCUAAAUCCAAAACUAACGAUUGUGAGGAAGCUUUCGUCAACUGCAGUUAAUACUUCAUCAAACGGGAAUGGAGCUUCAGAAUCCGCGGACGAUGACUUGCCUAGUGUGAUGACAUGCGCUAAUUACCUGAAACUUCCUCCUUACUCUACCAAGGAAGUUAUGUACAAGAAGCUACUCUAUGCAAUCAGUGAAGGGCAGGGAUCCUUUGAUUUAUCAUGAGUUCUGGAACUAACCAACCUUACCCUGUAUGUUAAUAUAGAUGGGUCAGGGUUUAAUUGACUCUAUUAUUGAGUCUCAGUUAAGUCUUGGUUGGGAUUCAGGUUCCUCCUCGCGUCUCAAAUAAUAGUCUCGUUUUCCGUGCUCUUCAUGCAAAUUGCAAGGUUGUGGUGUAACUCAGUCGAAUCGGGUGGCCACAUUUUCAAUGUGUAGGAUCAUUUACGGAGCUCUUAUUUAUUUUCACCUGUUAGAACUUGUAAAUAAAAUAGCAAUGAUGAAAUUUUGAUUCUUUUUUUUUUCACUAUUUUGUUUGUAAGUCCAAUUAUUCGCAAUUAGCAUGUACCAAGAAAGGGUAAAGGGAAGAGAAAUAAUUUAAAAUAGUAUGCUUUAUUAUUACUUCUGC